This is a long non-coding RNA of Harmonia axyridis, 1759 nucleotides long. RefSeq lists it as uncharacterized. The transcript has 2 exons. Lineage: Eukaryota; Metazoa; Arthropoda; Insecta; Coleoptera; Coccinellidae. The record is from RefSeq and is a predicted model, not a curated record.
UUGUCGUAUCUACCAACGAUUUCGAGAAAAAAAUUUUGAAAAAAUAUUGCAGCAUUCAAUAGCAUUCAUCUCCGCUUAAAAUUCACUAUUGAAUUAGAAUCACGAGAUGAUACACUACCUUUUUUAGAUACAUUGUUGAUUAGACGAAAUAAUAGGAUAAUAACAGACUGGUACCAAAAACCAACAUUUUCCGGGAGAAUACUUAAUUUCAACUCAAAACACAAUAUGGCACAGAAAAUUAACAUCAUUAAUAAUUUAAAACAUAGAGCUCUCAAACUUUCUAACAACGAAUUUCACGAACAAAAUAUCAUUAAAAUAAAAUCAAUUCUGGAAAAAAAUAACUAUCCCGCUAAAUUCAUAAAUGAAAUUCUUAACAGAAAAGAACCUGAGCACCACAGACCACAAGAAAAAGAGGAAAACAAAAAGUAUUUCAAAGUAACUUACGUUGAAAAUCUAGGAGAGCAAAUCAAGAAUAUAUUCACCAAAUUAAACAUCAAUAUAGCAUUGAAAUCUGAUAAUACUAUAAAAAAAUUCUUCACAAAAACUAAGAGUGCAACCCCCAUAGAAUUACUCAGUAACAUCAUCUAUAAAAUAUCUUGUAAAGACUGUCCAGCCACAUAUAUAGGACAAACUGGUCGGUACCUUAAGGACCGAAUUUCUGAACACAAAAGAGACUCCCUAACAUCCUCAAUCCAUUGAAGAACAAAAAAAAAAUAAUACUGCAUUAGCGGAGCACGUAAGAAAUCUCCUUCAUUCAUUUAAUUUCGAUCCGGGCUCAGUAGGAAUAUUAGGUAGGCUGACAAAUUUAAAGAAACGGUUAUUACAUGAGAUGAUAUCCAUAAAACAGGACAAAAAUUCUAUCAAUAAGAGAAAUGACAUAGAAAACCUGAAUACCGCGUACUAUUAUUUAAUAGGAAAAAUGAAAGAUUGAUAGAAAUUGUUGUCCAACCAAGAUUAAACGUGCACACUCCAUAAACAACUGAUAUGCAAACCUCAGUUUUUAAAAAGUCCCCUAUGCAAGCAGUUGGUAUCAUUUCCAACAUUUUAAUUAUUGACAACGGAACCACACAAAGUGAAAAUAGCCCUGAUGAAGACUUUGAAAUAAAGUCGAAACUAGUUGGCCUUUUUUACAGAAAGUUGGUUUUGUGAAUAUAUCCCUGACCUAGAAACCUGUUAAAGAUCACCGAAUUUAUAACAUCUAUAUCAUUUUGUCUAAUACUUUUUUUUUCUUGACUACUGUCAAGAAGUUGUCAUAUUUUCUUUGUAUUUUUGUAACGUUUUUAUUAAUAGAAUAGAAUCAGUAUAAAUUUAUGGGAGAUGAUUCCCCCAUAUAAGGGGCCUGUAGCGAUCCUGGUACACCUGAGGAUUCAUCACUUGGAGAAUCGGUCCUGGUUGAAUAAAACCUCUCGAUAUUGGAGCAGUUUGGUACCAUUUACUUAAAUAUUGAAGGGAUUUCUAAGAACAGGAGUGAUUUAUUUUGUCGACAUUGGUCAUAGACAAUGACGCGGCGGUCAUCCUUCUUCAAGAAACCCGCAAGACAAUUGAACAACUUCGUGAAAGAGAAUUUUAGCAGGUUAUGUAUUGAUAUAUUGCCUAUUGAGUUUGCUUGUUCUCUGGCUUAUUAUGUUGGAAAAUCAUUAGUUAGUUUUUGGCCUAUAAAUUUCGAUGUCAUUCUUUCUUAUCCUUCAAUUUAUUGUGGUGAUUUCAAUUGUCACCAUUCAAUGUUAUAUAUGAUGGAAAUUAUAACAUUUAUUGCUCC